CUUGCUUCUCUUGAGAGCGGCGGACGGGUGAGUAAUGCCUAGGAAUCUGCCUGGUAGUGGGGGAUAACGUCCGGAAACGGACGCUAAUACCGCAUACGUCCUACGGGAGAAAGCAGGGGACCUUCGGGCCUUGCGCUAUCAGAUGAGCCUAGGUCGGAUUAGCUAGUUGGUGGGGUAAUGGCUCACCAAGGCGACGAUCCGUAACUGGUCUGAGAGGAUGAUCAGUCACACUGGAACUGAGACACGGUCCAGACUCCUACGGGAGGCAGCAGUGGGGAAUAUUGGACAAUGGGCGAAAGCCUGAUCCAGCCAUGCCGCGUGUGUGAAGAAGGUCUUCGGAUUGUAAAGCACUUUAAGUUGGGAGGAAGGGCAGUAAAUUAAUACUUUGCUGUUUUGACGUUACCGACAGAAUAAGCACCGGCUAACUCUGUGCCAGCAGCCGCGGUAAUACAGAGGGUGCAAGCGUUAAUCGGAAUUACUGGGCGUAAAGCGCGCGU
RNAcentral lists this ribosomal RNA (497 nucleotides) under uncultured bacterium. RNAcentral's name for it is "bacterial SSU rRNA". It matches the Rfam family "Bacterial small subunit ribosomal RNA", at positions 79 to 572 of the family's 1533-position model. The record is from RNAcentral.